Molecule: ribosomal RNA, 865 nt
Filed under: Pallisentis sp. 1 NKG-2015
Lineage: Eukaryota; Metazoa; Acanthocephala; Eoacanthocephala; Gyracanthocephala; Quadrigyridae
Description: bacterial SSU rRNA
Rfam family: Eukaryotic small subunit ribosomal RNA
Source: RNAcentral
GAUCCAACCUGCGGAAAAUGCAAUUUGCAAGCAUGUUUUCAAUUAAUCAAGGAACGGAAAGUUAGAGUUUUCGAAGACGAUUAGAUACCGUCCGUAGUUCUAACUAUAAAACUAUGCCAACUGGGCAUCUGGCGGUAGCACAUUAGGGCAUCGGCAGGCACCCCGCGGGAAACCAAAGUUAUAGGGUUCCGGGGGGGAGUAUGGUUGCAAAAUCGAAACUUAAAGGAAUUGACGGAGGGGCACACCAGAAGUGGAGCGUGCGGCUCAAUUUGACUCAACGCACGAAAACUUACUCGGUCCGGGGCGCCGUGAGGAUUGACACCCCCCAACGCUCUUUCUUGAUUUGGUGGGUGGUGGUGCAUGGCCGUUCGUAGUUGGUGGAGUGAUUUGUCUGGUUUAUUCCGAUAACGAACGAGACUCUAGCCUAUUAAUUAGUGUGGCGAGUGACGACUUUAUUGGUCUUGCCGCCUGAACACUUCUUAGAGGGACAAGUACUGUAAAGUGCUGGAAGAUGAGCAAUAACAGGUCUGUGAUGCCCUUAGAUGUUCGAGGCUGCACGCGCGCUACAAUGGAGGCUUCAAAAAGUAGUUAUCCUGGUUUGAAAAGAUCGGGGAAUCAAAAAUAGCCUUCACGAUUGGGAUCGGAGAUUGUAAUUAUUCUUCGUGAAAGAGGAAUUCCUAGUAAACGCGAAUCAUUAUUUCGCGUUGAAUAAGUCCCUGCCCUUUGUACACACCGCCCGUCGCUACUACCGAUCGAAUGGUCUAGUGAGGUUUCCGGAUAGGUUGCAUGGAGCCAAAAGCUCCACUGUAUUUCUAAAAGCUGACCGGACUACGCAUUGAACUUUUCAGAAAAUAAAAUAAGCGCG